This 253-nucleotide ribosomal RNA is filed under the name uncultured bacterium. Its description in RNAcentral is "partial 16S ribosomal RNA". It matches the Rfam family "Bacterial small subunit ribosomal RNA", at positions 524 to 776 of the family's 1533-position model. The record is from RNAcentral.
UACGAAGGGGGCUAGCGUUGCUCGGAAUCACUGGGCGUAAAGCGCGCGCAGGUGGUUCUUUAAGUCUGAUGUGAAAGCCCACGGCUCAACCGUGGAAGGUCAUUGGAAACUGGGGAACUUGAGUGCAGAAGAGGAAAGUGGAAUUCCAAGUGUAGCGGUGAAAUGCGUAGAUAUUUGGAGGAACACCAGUGGCGAAGGCGACUUUCUGGUCUGUAACUGACACUGAGGCGCGAAAGCGUGGGGAGCAAACAGG